This 633-nucleotide ribosomal RNA is filed under the name Staphylococcus aureus. Its description in RNAcentral is "bacterial SSU rRNA". It matches the Rfam family "Bacterial small subunit ribosomal RNA", at positions 192 to 813 of the family's 1533-position model. Lineage: Bacteria; Bacillati; Bacillota; Bacilli; Caryophanales; Staphylococcaceae. The record is from RNAcentral.
GUUCAAAAGUGAAAGACGGUCUUGCUGUCACUUAUAGAUGGAUCCGCGCUGCAUUAGCUAGUUGGUAAGGUAACGGCUUACCAAGGCAACGAUGCAUAGCCGACCUGAGAGGGUGAUCGGCCACACUGGAACUGAGACACGGUCCAGACUCCUACGGGAGGCAGCAGUAGGGAAUCUUCCGCAAUGGGCGAAAGCCUGACGGAGCAACGCCGCGUGAGUGAUGAAGGUCUUCGGAUCGUAAAACUCUGUUAUUAGGGAAGAACAUAUGUGUAAGUAACUGUGCACAUCUUGACGGUACCUAAUCAGAAAGCCACGGCUAACUACGUGCCAGCAGCCGCGGUAAUACGUAGGUGGCAAGCGUUAUCCGGAAUUAUUGGGCGUAAAGCGCGCGUAGGCGGUUUUUUAAGUCUGAUGUGAAAGCCCACGGCUCAACCGUGGAGGGUCAUUGGAAACUGGAAAACUUGAGUGCAGAAGAGGAAAGUGGAAUUCCAUGUGUAGCGGUGAAAUGCGCAGAGAUAUGGAGGAACACCAGUGGCGAAGGCGACUUUCUGGUCUGUAACUGACGCUGAUGUGCGAAAGCGUGGGGAUCAAACAGGAUUAGAUACCCUGGUAGUCCACGCCGUAAACGAUGAG